GGUUGGCUCAGUGGUAGAGUGCUUGCCUUGCAUGCAUGAGGCCCUGGGUUCAAUUCCUCAGCACCA
Non-coding RNA from Dipodomys ordii (Ord's kangaroo rat), 66 nucleotides. NCBI's taxonomy places the organism in Eukaryota, Metazoa, Chordata, Mammalia, Rodentia, Heteromyidae. The record is from Rfam.